Molecule: long non-coding RNA, 2894 nt
Filed under: Homo sapiens (human)
Lineage: Eukaryota; Metazoa; Chordata; Mammalia; Primates; Hominidae
Description: PREDICTED lncRNA (TCONS_00191896)
Source: RNAcentral
AAAAAUAACCCACAGGAACAUCUUAGUGUAUCCUGUUUGUCUGUUUUCAUGCCCAGAGCCACGUCUGGUACACCAGAUUACACAAAGUCUGGCUGGAAGGGAGUGGCCUUGUCCAUUCCUCAGCAGGGCAGGAGUCCCCUUGCAGCUUCCAGCUAGACAUAGCUGUCUGCUUCUCCUGAGAUAUGUGAGGCCUGCCUGCUCCCCACGCUCCCUGGGACCCCACAUCACUCAAUGUUUCCUGGCCUGGUCAGGAGAUAGAGAUGUUUGUGACAUAUAUAAAAUCACAAGAGUAACCCUCCUCCCAAAACUUAUUUCAGCUAACAAAAAGUAAGCACUUUCAGAGCCCGACCCUUCAAGGAGCUGCUGCUGCAGAAGGGUGCUUCUAUGAUGCUCCUUCACCCAACUGUACCCCAUAGUAAGAUGCCCAGGCUCGGGUGGGCAGAAGGAGGAAGGAGGGACCUGGGAACCACGAGUCACCCAUUUCAGUGGAGGUUGAAUACGCAGAAUCAGGAAGCACAGAAAUCCACACCCAUAUCAUAAUGAAAUUGCAGCACACCAAAGGCAAAGAGAAGAUCUUUAAUGCAGCCAAGGAAAAAGCACAGAUUACAGAGAGCAGACGCUGAGACUGAGAGUAGACUUCGUAGUGGCCACAGUGGGAGCCGGAAGCCAUGGGAUACAGUGAGUGUGACUUGGGACUCUUCACCAUCAAAUUAGAAUCAGGAGUUGAAAUUGAUGGUUGUUCAAGAAUCUGCUCACGGUAAAGGGCAUUUCCAGAUGGGAAACAGAAUUUAUCACAACACGAAACUCAGGAGAGUGAGACUCAAGGAACUCACUGAAGAACGUACUUCCAGCAGAAGGAGAGUGGUCCUGGAGAAAGGGUGUGAUUCUGAGAUAGGCAGAUGAACAGAGCAGUCAGUGAAGACGUGAGCAACGGAAAGCAACGUGGACUCUAAAGCUCUGUUAACUGGGUGACCCUGGUUAUCUGGGUUGCGGGGAGAAAAAUUAGAGCCCUCACCAACACCACACAGCAAAUAAGCUCUGAAUGUUUUAAAGCCUAGAAGAUGCUAUGGGAGAGCAUCUUCAUGGGCUCUGGAGAUGAAAGGCCUUCUUUAACAAGGUCCUAAAUGCCCAGUGAAGGAAAACAUUAAGAAAUUCAGGCCGAUCGUGCUGGCUCAUGCUUGUAAUCCCAGCACUUUGGGAGACCGAGUUGGGUGGAUCGCUUGAGCCUAGGAGUUCAAGACCAACAAGGCAAAACCCCAUCUCUACCAAAAAAGUGCAAAAAUUAGCCAAGGGUGGUGGUGCGUGCCUGCAGUUCCAGCUACUCGGGAAGCUGAGGCAGGAGGAUCACUUCAACCUGGGAGGCAGAGGCUGCAGUGAGCCGAGAUCGGGCCACUGGCACUCCAGCCUGGGUAGCAGAGUGAGAAACUGUCUCAAAAAAUAAUAAUAAAAAAAAAAUUUGCCCGGGCACAGUGGCUCAUGCCUGUAAUCCCAGCACUUUGGGAGGCCAAGGCAGGUGGAUCACGAGGUCAAGAGAUCGAGACCAUCCUGGCCAACAUGGUGAAACCCCAUCUCUACUAAAAAUACAAAAAAUUAGCUGGGCAUGGUGGUGCGCACCUGUAGUCCCAGCUACUCAGGAGGCUGAGGCAGAAGAAUCACUUGAACCCGAGAGGUGGAGGUUGCAGUGAGCCGAGAUCACACCAUUGUACUGCAGCCUGGCGACAGAGUGAGACUCCAUCUCAAAAUAAGUAAAUAAAUAAAUUAAUUAAUUAAUUAAAAAAUUAAAAUAAAAAAAAUUACCCAGACAUAGUGGCUCGAGUCUAUAGUCCUACAUAUUUGUGGGGCUGAGGUGGGUGGAUCACUUGAGCCCAGGAUGUCAAGGAUGCAGUGAGGCAUGAUCGUGUGACUGUACUGUAGUCUAAGCAACAGAGUGAGACCCUGUCUUCCCUACCGAAAAAAAAGAAAACACACAACAUUUAUCCAUUAGGUUCUCGUCUUAUAUGGACACCCAAAACAAUUGCAUAGUAACAUCAAAGAUCAUUGAUCACAGAUCACCAUAGCGGUAUAAUAAUGAUAAUGUGGCUGGGCACAGUGGCUCACGCCUGUAAUCCCGGUACUUUGGGAGGCCGAGGCAGGUGGAUCACCUGAGGUCAGGAGUUCGAGACCAGCCUGACCAACAUGGCAAAACCCCAUCUCUACUAAAAAUACAAAAUUAGCCGGGCGUGGAGGCGCAUGCCUGUAAUCCCAGCUACUCGGGAGGCUGAGCUGAAUUGCUUGAACCUAGAAGGUGGAGGUUAUGGUGAGCCAAGAUCGCACCACUGCACUCCAGCCUGGGCAACAAGAGCGAAACUCUGUCUCAAAAAAAAUAAAAAUAAAAAUAAUGAAAAUGUUUGAAAUAUUGCAUGAAUUACCAAAAUGUGACACAGAGACACAAAGUGAACACAUCCUGUUGAAAAAAUGGCUCUUGUAAGACUUGCUCAACACAGGGUUGAAAAUCUGGGUUUCUAAAAAAACACACAUAAUCACUAAUAUGUUUAUCUGUAUCCAAUAAAAGAAAAUGGCCUUAAAAUACAAUAUUAAUAUGAUCAAUAAAGCCACAGAAGUCUGGUUUUGUAAUGCAGUUUUUUUUUUAAAUGAUCUCUCAAAUCGUCAUUCCCACUAAGUAGUAUGUGUGGUCAAAUCCUAUUCUAGAACUGGGCAGUACAGUAGUCACUAGCCAUAUUUGGCCAUGAAGCACCUGAAAUGUGACUAGUCUGAACUGAGAAGUACAAGCAUAAAGCACAUGUCAGAUUUCAAAGACAGUACAAAUAACGGAAUGUAAAAUAUCUCAUUAAUAAUUAAUAAUUGUAUAGUGUACACUGCUUGGGUGAUGGGUGCACCAAAAUCUCAGAAAUCAC